ACCAAACGAGGCAAUGAUGCCAAGGACAAUGUGUUAGGGCUCUCCAGAGAAACAAAACCAACAGGAGAGAGAGAGACAGAAAUAGAGAGAGAAAGGGAGAGAUUUAUUAUGAAGAACUAGGUCAUGUCAUUACAGGGGCUGGGAAGUUCCACAGUCCACCAUCGGCCAGCUAGAGACCCAGGAUUACCUGUUGUGUAGCUCCAGUCUGAGCUAGAGGCCUGAGAACCGGCAGAAUUGAUGGUGUAAGUCCCAGUCCAAGUACAGGAGAAGACCGAUGUCCUGGCUUGACAGCAGUCAGGCAGAGAGAACAAUGCUCCCUUACCCCACCUUUUGUCCUAUUCAGGCCUCAGUGGCUUCGAGGAGGCCCACCCACUCUGGGGAGGGACAACUGCCUUGCUCAGUCUACAGAUUCACGUGUUAAUCUCAUCCAGAAAGACCCUCACAGACACACCUAGAAUAACGUUUGACCUAACAUCUGGGCACCUAAUGGCUCAGUCAAGUUGACACUUAAAAUUAACCAUCACAGACAAUAAAAGAGCCUUUUUAAACAUCAAGAAGAGGAGAGGGACAGACUCAUGCUUGGUGGCACGGUGACGACCAGUAUGCGAUAGGAAGGGAGACAGAUCUGGGGCAGGCAGAGAGGGCUGAAGCUGGAGUCUCCCCUGGGUUCCCAACUACUGACAGGACCAUGCCUGGUCCCCAGAUUUAAGUCUCCAGAGUAAAUCUGCUGAGCUGAAAAUGAGCUCCAACC
RNAcentral lists this long non-coding RNA (751 nucleotides) under Homo sapiens (human). RNAcentral's name for it is "HSALNT0346877". Lineage: Eukaryota; Metazoa; Chordata; Mammalia; Primates; Hominidae. The record is from RNAcentral.